UUCCUACGGGGCGCAGCAGUGGGGAAUAUUGCACAAUGGGGGAAACCCUGAUGCAGCGACGCCGCGUGAAGGAAGAAGUAUUUCGGUAUGUAAACUUCUAUCAGCAGGGAAGAAAAUGACGGUACCUGACUAAGAAGCCCCGGCUAACUACGUGCCAGCAGCCGCGGUAAUACGUAGGGGGCAAGCGUUAUCCGGAUUUACUGGGUGUAAAGGGAGCGUAGACGGCGAUGCAAGUCUGAAGUGAAAGGCGGGGGCCUAACCCCCGGACUGCUUUGGAAACUGUAUGGCUGGAGUGCAGGAGAGGG
This 305-nucleotide ribosomal RNA is filed under the name uncultured bacterium. RNAcentral's name for it is "bacterial SSU rRNA". It matches the Rfam family "Bacterial small subunit ribosomal RNA", at positions 336 to 658 of the family's 1533-position model. The record is from RNAcentral.